GUAGGUGAACCUGCGGUUGGAUCAUUAGAAAAUGUAUGACAUCCGGUUAGUGCGGUUUGAAAAAACCGUAUCUGAUCGGCUUCCGUGGCGCUUUUGGCUUUUAUGGCAAUUGUUUGUUAGCCCGGGUUUCCUUCUGUGGAUCAACUUGGGAGUUAUCAUAUCGCUCUUGCGGAACAAGUCAUUGCGCCAUGGUCGAGUCAAAACUCCUAUGUGCAACGUUUGGGGUUUGGUUGGAAAGCGCGAGGUUUUACCGCACGCCGAAAACCAUUUUCCCAUUCCACUAUUUUAUAAUUUGUCUAACUUUAUUUAAUAUAUAAUAUUAAAACAACUUUUGGCAACGGAUCUCUUGGCUCUC
Molecule: unclassified non-coding RNA, 355 nt
Filed under: rhizosphere metagenome
Description: partial ribosomal RNA internal transcribed spacer region
Source: RNAcentral